UAGCUAGUUGGCGGGGUAACGGCCCACCAAGGCUUUGAUCGGUAUCCGGCCUGAGAGGGCGCACGGACACACUGGAACUGAAACACGGUCCAGACUCCUACGGGAGGCAGCAGUGGGGAAUUUUGCGCAAUGGGGGAAACCCUGACGCAGCAACGCCGCGUGGAGGAUGAAGUCCCUUGGGACGUAAACUCCUUUCGACCCGGACGAUAAUGACGGUACGGGUGGAAGAAGCCCCGGCUAACUUCGUGCCAGCAGCCGCGGUAAUACGAGGGGGGCAAGCGUUGUUCGGAAUUAUUGGGC
RNAcentral lists this ribosomal RNA (300 nucleotides) under uncultured Acidobacteriota bacterium. Its description in RNAcentral is "bacterial SSU rRNA". It matches the Rfam family "Bacterial small subunit ribosomal RNA", at positions 242 to 559 of the family's 1533-position model. Lineage: Bacteria; Pseudomonadati; Acidobacteriota. The record is from RNAcentral.